This is a non-coding RNA of Equus caballus (horse), 1888 nucleotides long. Lineage: Eukaryota; Metazoa; Chordata; Mammalia; Perissodactyla; Equidae. The record is from RefSeq and is a predicted model, not a curated record.
CUCCAAAGAAACCAAACAAAAUGAGGUUUCAAGAAAGAGAGAAUGGUGGACCUUGUGAACUAUUGUUAAGGGGGUGAGGAAACUGAAGCCUCGCUCCUAAGGGAAAAUAUGCAAUGCCUGGCUUGACAGCAGUCGAGAUUCCUGUACUGUGAAGCAAUAACUCCAAGUGGAUAAACAAGUAGAGAGGAGAGCCUGGGAUUCUGAUGUGUCUGCAGAGCCAUCCUCUUUGUCUAAUUAUGAUGAGCCCAGACUGACUCGCUGCUACUGGCCGUUUAUUAGCGGAGUGUCAGGUUCUGGCACUGAAGCUCUGCACCUGAGACUGGAGGUGAGAAGACAGUAGAAGCCUCGCUGAAUCCACAGGAGGCUCUAGCAUCUUCACCAACUACACAGAGUCUGUGUCAGCAUGAAGGUGGUGGUGCUGACGCCACAGUUCCUGCAGCGGCAUCGGAAGGUGAACUUGGUUUCUAUUCAGCAGCAGGGGCAGCAGGACAAACGUGGAUUCACUGAGGUCUGGAAACAAGUUCCCUUCUUUAAGUAGGGAGCUAAAGUGAGGUCGGAUGCCUGGGAAUCACAGACUGUCCCCUUUUGCUGUUCUAAUUUUCCAAUCUCUAAGCAUAUUUGAACAGCAUCAAACUUCUCUACAUUACACAACAUCAUUAACUUCGAAAUUAGUAUUUUUUCAACAAUUACUUUAGAUCAGCGUGUAUUGCUACUUUAGAGAUCAUAUCAAAUUAAUUUGUUUAAAUAUGUAAAAAGAUCAUGAAAUAAGAUGCUAUCCAGACAAUAGAACUGUGUAUCAUAAUCCUCUGAAAGACACAGGGUGAUCAUAUUUUUAUAGUUUAUUUUUUGUUUGGUGACUUGCAAGCAUACCUACAAAUGUGGAUAGUCAUCAAAAGUACAAGAAAAACAAUCUAAGAAGUAAACAACUUAUAUUUUCAAUAAAAAGAUCAAAAUAUGUAUAAAUAGUAGGGGAUAAAUGAGACAAAGUGAACUGUGGUAAAAUAUAAUAUCCCGUGUUCACUUAAGCUCAGUUUUUCUUAAAUUUACAUAAGAACGGAAAAAUUAGGACAGUUCUUAUUAAAUGGAAAAUUCUGAGAAAAAGCUAAAUUUCAUAAGCAAAUCAUUCUGAUUUUAUGGCUUUAGCUACAGGUAAAAUACAAGAGAUCAACACUUGCCUAAGCCAAAAAUUAGAAACCAUAUGUCCAUAUGAUAUAUUUGAAUAUAUAAUAAUGUUGCCAGCCGUAUCUCACCUGGGAAGAGUGGCAUUUUGGAGAAUAUUCUUCCUUUUACUUCCCAUUUAUAAAAACUACUUUUCUACCAGGCAUCACAGUUUUUCUAGUUUUAAGUGGCAUCUUUAUAAGUCAUAAAAAUUGGAGCUUAAUUUCUCUUAAUAUUAAAAUAACCCAGAAGAGAAUGUUCAUUGAAACAAAUUAUUAUUGUUUAUUGUAGUAAGAGCAAGAUACUGUAUAGAAGAUACAGUCUUUUCUAAGAUGUCUAGCAUAAUAAUAAUUUUAAUGCGUUAUUAUAAUAGAGCAAUUUAUUCUAAAUUUUAGAAAGCAGAAAUUGCCUGUCUUUUGUCUAAAUAAAACUUACCAUAAAAAUUAGAAUCAUAACAUUCGAAGAAAAUAUAAGGGAUUAUUAUUCUUACUAUUUUUGUUGUUUUGUUAAUUAAGACCAAAUUUUUGCAUUUCUUCCUGCCAUUUCUGCCAAUUCUAACCUUUGCUAGAGACGUGGGGUAAGUAUGAUAGUGGAUAUUUCAUCUUCAAUAUAUAUGCAACAGUGUCCCUACCGCCUGUCUAACUGGGAAAUACCACCUAAAGAUUUUAGAUAAGGUUGAGAUAAGAGCUCAAUUUCUGUAGAUGUCCAUCUGCAUGAAAAAUAAAAGCAA